CUUCAUAUUUUUAGAGCGGCUAAGGGCUUCAUGACUGACUAGUGUCCUCAGCAUCCACAACAAUGGCUUUCAUCACCCUCUUCAUCUACUCUCUGCUCCUCUACAUCCAAGACUCCAGGGCACAGGUGACUGUUACUCAACCUGCAGCCAAAUCGACCAGUGCAGGGGGCUCAGUCACCAUCAGCUGCAAACGCAGUGGAAGUUUUUCUGAGCCCUGUGGUAGCACACCAUGUAUCUCCUGGUACCAACAGCAGUCUGGAGAGAAACCCAAACUCCUCAUUUAUAGAGUGAGCAGCCUCCAGUCUGGUAUUCCAUCUCGGUUUAGUGGCGGUGGAUCUGGGAAUGACUUCAGUCUGACCAUCAGUGGAGUCCAGAGUGAAGAUGCAGGACAUUAUUACUGCAUGAGUGCUCAUCAUGAUAGCAGCAGCAAAUGGCAGUUCACACAGUGAUACGGACUCGUACAA
Molecule: non-coding RNA, 464 nt
Organism: Sardina pilchardus (European sardine)
Lineage: Eukaryota; Metazoa; Chordata; Actinopteri; Clupeiformes; Clupeidae
Source: the annotation of a RefSeq genome assembly